CAGCAGCACACUGUGGUUUGCA
Molecule: microRNA, 22 nt
Filed under: Dasypus novemcinctus (nine-banded armadillo)
Lineage: Eukaryota; Metazoa; Chordata; Mammalia; Cingulata; Dasypodidae
Also listed under: 1 other name
Description: dno-miR-497-5p
Gene: dno-miR-497-5p
Source: miRBase by way of RNAcentral